GCGAAGGCAGCUUGCCCAGGCAGACCGUUUGAACGUGAUUAUUUUUGCAUUCGCCCUGUGAAAGCGCAAAGGCGUGAUUUUCCCAUUUGAAAAAAAUCUUUCUUACUCCGUGACGGCUUAUCCAGCGAGCCCAGAGUUUGUACUGUUAGACUGUGGGAGGAAACCAGAGUACCAGAGAAAACUCACGUGGUCUCAAGGUGAACGUACUAACUCCUUUUAGGCAGCGGCAGGAAAUGAACCUGGGUUGCUUGUAAUGUAAAGCAUUGUGCUAACCACUCACUACGUUACCAAAAGGGAAUCUAAAACUAAAGGUCGUGGAUCUAAGGGAACAAAGAUCCUCGACUUCCUGACUGGGAGACCUCAGUCAGACCGGAUCGGGAGCAGCAUCUCCAACACCAUCACACUGAGCACGGGGGCCCCCAGGGCUGUGUGCUCAGUCCAUUGCUGUUCACUCUGCUGACCCACGACUGUGCUGCAACACACAGCUCGAACCACAUCAUCAAGUUCACUGAUGACACAACCCUGGUGGGUCUCAUCAGCAAGAACAACGAAUCAGCUUACAGAGAGGAGGUGCAGCGGCUAACAGACUGGUGCAGAGCCAACAACCUGUCUCUGAAUGUGAACAAAAGAGAUGGUUUAAAAAAAACAUA
Long non-coding RNA from Hypanus sabinus (Atlantic stingray), 650 nucleotides. RefSeq lists it as uncharacterized. The record is from RefSeq and is a predicted model, not a curated record. NCBI's taxonomy places the organism in Eukaryota, Metazoa, Chordata, Chondrichthyes, Myliobatiformes, Dasyatidae. The transcript is spliced from 3 exons.